Molecule: ribosomal RNA, 253 nt
Filed under: uncultured bacterium
Lineage: Bacteria
Description: partial 16S ribosomal RNA
Rfam family: Bacterial small subunit ribosomal RNA
Source: RNAcentral
GACGAAGGGGGCUAGCGUUGUUCGGAAUUACUGGGCGUAAAGCGCGUGUAGGCGGUUGCCCAAGUCGGGUGUGAAAGCCUUGAGCUCAACUCAAGAAAUGCACUCGGUACUGGGUGACUAGAGGACCGGAGAGGAUAGUGGGAUUCCCAGUGUAGUGGUGAAAUACGUAGAGAUUGGGAAGAACACCAGUGGCGAAGGCGGCUAUCUGGACGGUUUCUGACGCUGAGGCGCGAAAGCGUGGGGAGCGAUCCGG